This 254-nucleotide ribosomal RNA is filed under the name uncultured bacterium. RNAcentral describes it as "partial 16S ribosomal RNA". It matches the Rfam family "Bacterial small subunit ribosomal RNA", at positions 524 to 776 of the family's 1533-position model. The record is from RNAcentral.
UACGUAGGGUGCGAGCGUUGUCCGGAAUUAUUGGGCGUAAAGAGCUCGUAGGCGGCUUGUCGCGUCGGAUGUGAAAGCCCGGGGCUUAACCCCGGGUCUGCAUUCGAUACGGGCAGGCUAGAGUUCGGUAGGGGAGAUCGGAAUUCCUGGUGUGAGCGGUGAAAUGCGCAGAUAUCAGGAGGAACACCGGUGGCGAAGGCGGGACUCUGGGCCGAUACUGACGCUGAGGAGCGAAAGCGUGGGGAGCAAACAGG